GAUGAACGCUGGCGGCGUGCUUAACACAUGCAAGUCGAACGAAGCACUUUAUUUGAUUUCCUUCGGGACUGAUUAUUUUGUGACUGAGUGGCGGACGGGUGAGUAACGCGUGGGUAACCUGCCUUGUACAGGGGGAUAACAGUUGGAAACGGCUGCUAAUACCGCAUAAGCGCACAGCAUCGCAUGAUGCAGUGUGAAAAACUCCGGUGGUAUAAGACGGACCCGCGUUGGAUUAGCUAGUUGGUGAGGUAACGGCCCACCAAGGCGACGAUCCAUAGCCGACCUGAGAGGGUGACCGGCCACAUUGGGACUGAGACACGGCCCAAACUCCUACGGGAGGCAGCAGUGGGGAAUAUUGCACAAUGGGCGAAAGCCUGAUGCAGCGACGCCGCGUGAGCGAAGAAGUAUUUCGGUAUGUAAAGCUCUAUCAGCAGGGAAGAUAAUGACGGUACCUGACGAAGAAGCACCGGCUAAAUACGUG
This 481-nucleotide ribosomal RNA is filed under the name uncultured bacterium. Its description in RNAcentral is "partial 16S ribosomal RNA". It matches the Rfam family "Bacterial small subunit ribosomal RNA", at positions 28 to 507 of the family's 1533-position model. The record is from RNAcentral.